AUGAGAAGAUUGCAUCAUAAUAAUACAUUACCAUGGCUUCUGAUUGGGGAUUUGAAUGAAAUACAAUUCCUACAUGAGAAAGAAGGUGGUAAUCCAAGACCACAGCAGUAUAUGCACGCCUUUCAGGCAGCAAUUGAGGACUGCGAGUUGAGGGACAUGGAAUAUGUGGGAGACCAAUUCACGUGGUUUCGAGGCAGGAUUAGAGAACGACUGGAUAGGGGCUUGGUUAAUGAUGCGUGGUCCACUCUUUAUCCUCAUGCCGCAUUACAAAAUUUAAACUAUAAUAAUUCAGAUAAUAGACCCUUGUGUGUAGACACAGAGUAUUACUCGGGAGUGGCGGCCAAUGGUGCAGCCAGCAAGAAAUUCGAGGCGAGGUGGCUGCAUGAACAGUCAUUCUCGGAUGUCAUCGAGGAGGCGUGGAACACGACAAGCGCGGCUGCGGGACAAAAUACGGUCUAUGAAAAACUAAACCGCAUGCACGAUCAGUUCCAUGUUUGGGAUCAGAGCGUUUUGAAGAAGCCAAAAAAGACUUCGGAAAGCACAUAG
This 546-nucleotide ribosomal RNA is filed under the name Triticum aestivum (bread wheat). RNAcentral describes it as "partial small subunit ribosomal RNA". The record is from RNAcentral. Lineage: Eukaryota; Viridiplantae; Streptophyta; Magnoliopsida; Poales; Poaceae.